This 447-nucleotide ribosomal RNA is filed under the name uncultured bacterium. RNAcentral's name for it is "bacterial SSU rRNA". It matches the Rfam family "Bacterial small subunit ribosomal RNA", at positions 355 to 825 of the family's 1533-position model. The record is from RNAcentral.
UCGGGAAUUUUGGGCAAUGGGGGAAACCCUGACCCAGCAACGCCGCGUGAAGGAUGAAGUAUUUCGGUAUGUAAACUUCGAAAGAAUAGGAAGAAUAAAUGACGGUACUAUUUAUAAGGUCCGGCUAACUACGUGCCAGCAGCCGCGGUAAUACGUAGGGACCAAGCGUUGUUCGGAUUUACUGGGCGUAAAGGGCGCGUAGGCGGCAUGACAAGUCACUUGUGAAAUCUCUGGGCUUAACCCAGAACGGCCAAGUGAUACUGUCGCGCUAGAGUGCAGAAGGGGCAAUCGGAAUUCUUGGUGUAGCGGUGAAAUGCGUAGAUAUCAAGAGGAACACCUGAGGUGAAGACGGGUUGCUUGGCUGACACUGACGCUGAGGCGCGAAAGCCAGGGGAGCAAACGGGAUUAGAUACCCAAGUAGUCCCUGAGCGGGCUGGCAAGGCGCAU